AGACGUUUAAGUAAUAGUCCUUGGACUAUUACGCGUACAAGUACGUGCGGCUUGCCCACAAACGUGUGAAGGGCUCCUCAUUUUUAUCCCCUUUUUAAUUUGUCCAGUCAGAUGGAUUAUGAGGAAAACCUAACGUAGCUCUGUUGUGUCCACAACUAGAGGGCGAAAACGUUCUAUAUCACGUAUAUGUAAAGUUUUUAUAUAAAUUCCAAACAAUUUGAUCUUGGCGAUUUCGUGUGGGAACCCCGAAACUCAAUAUCAUAUAAUGGCUGACGAUUUUCAAAAAAUUCCAAAUAGAUUCUUAACAAUUCCUACUCAUACUAAAGAACUGACGGAUUUGAUGUACAAUUACAAAAUUUUUAAACUUAACUAUUCAGACUCUAAUGGCAAAAUUUAUGGCUUAAAGAUUUUUCCUUUCAUUAACAAAAUAAGGAGUGGAUUAGCAUCAAAAGAAUAUAUUGAAACAGAUGACUCAAGUUCAAGUUUUUCAGAUGAAGAUAGUGUAAAUAAAUAUUUUGCACCAUUAUUAAUGCACACCUUAAUUUGAAUAAAAAAAUAGAUUCUGCACAAAUAAACAAGCUUGAGUCCAAAGAUAAAAAUUUGAAUUUCAACCAAAAGAAAAACUUAAUUUUUAAAACAAAAUAUUAUUAUCAUAUAAAUUGCAAUUUGGAAAUAAAAGAUAAAAAGGCUGUCAAACUUAAUUUAUCUGAAAAUGAUAGAUUUCAAAAAAAUAAUAUUCCUAAAAGUGAUAUAAAUAAAUUUUCUUCUAGUUUAUGUCUAGAACAAAGCAAUGAGGGUUAUUUCAAGAAGAUUUCAUACAGAACAAAAAGAAUGUCAAAUAUCCAUAAUUAUAAAUCUACUGAUUCAUCAAUAGAACUUUAUCUGAAUAAAAAUCAAGAAGUCUAUAAAUGUUGUACAUACAACAAAAAAUUAUUUUUUAAAUUUAAAUUGUUUAAGUGUUCACAAUUAUAUAGAUUGCAUUAUCCAAAUACAGGUUAGGUUAUAUGAGUUAUAAAUAUAUUAUAUAUAGGGAAGCAAAUAUUUAUGCCAAUAUUAAAAUGAUAUAUUUAUAUUUAUAAAUGUGUAUAACUUGGGAAUUGUGAAUAUUUUUAAUGAAUGUUAAUAAAAAAU
Gordionus sp. m RMFG-2023 is the source of this 1131-nucleotide RNA transcript. RefSeq lists it as uncharacterized. The record is from RefSeq and is a predicted model, not a curated record. Lineage: Eukaryota; Metazoa; Nematomorpha; Gordioida; Chordodea; Parachordodidae. The transcript has 5 exons.